GAUGAACGCUAGCGGCAGGCCUAAUACAUGCAAGUCAAGGGGAUAGCAAUAUCACCGGCGGACGGGUGCGUAACGCGUACACAACGUGCCCAAGGGCGGAGGAAAGCGGCGGGAAACUGCCGGUAAUACUCCAUGGUGUUGUUGAGUGGCAUCACUUAACAACUAAAGUACAAGCGCCCUUGGAUCGGUGUGCGUUCGAUUAGCUAGUUGGCGGGGUAACGGCCCACCAAGGCUUCGAUCGAUAGGGGGUGUGAGAGCAUGACCCCCCCACACGGGUACGUGAGACACGGACCCGACCUCCUACGGGA
RNAcentral lists this ribosomal RNA (308 nucleotides) under uncultured bacterium. RNAcentral describes it as "bacterial SSU rRNA". It matches the Rfam family "Bacterial small subunit ribosomal RNA", at positions 28 to 346 of the family's 1533-position model. The record is from RNAcentral.